UACGAAGGACCCGAGCGUUAUCCGGAUUUAUUGGGUUUAAAGGGUGCGUAGGCGGACUUUCAAGUCAGUGGUGAAAGCCCAUCGCUCAACGAUGGAAUUGCCAUUGAUACUGUUGGUCUUGAGUACGGUUGAAGUGGGCGGAAUGUGUCAUGUAGCGGUGAAAUGCUUAGAUAUGACAUAGAACACCGAUAGCGAAGGCAGCUUGCUACACAAUCAUUGACACUGAGGCACGAAAGCGUGGGGAUCAAACAGG
RNAcentral lists this ribosomal RNA (253 nucleotides) under uncultured bacterium. RNAcentral's name for it is "partial 16S ribosomal RNA". It matches the Rfam family "Bacterial small subunit ribosomal RNA", at positions 524 to 776 of the family's 1533-position model. The record is from RNAcentral.